CAUUCCUUCCGUUCGGAAUGACCUUAUUAUGGCAUGCGUCCCCAGUAAUGAGGAGGUGUGAAGCUCAUAAGACAAUGUGGAAAACUCUGAAAGUCAUUAUCAGAUAAUCUGCUAAGGUAAGAAUACCAUGAAGAAACACAUGUUGAAUC
Non-coding RNA from Candidatus Bathyarchaeota archaeon RBG_13_38_9, 149 nucleotides. NCBI's taxonomy places the organism in Archaea, Thermoproteati, Candidatus Bathyarchaeota. The record is from Rfam.